CUCUUCACCUUACUUACGCAAUUCAGAUAUGGCAGGAAAUUCAGCAGAACUGGCAAUAUGGAUUGCAAGGACAGGGCAACUCUAGUUUUUUAUUUUUUUUUAUUUUUUUUUUUAAAUAAAGAAAUUUAAUAGAACAUAAGUUAAAAUA
RNAcentral lists this non-coding RNA (148 nucleotides) under Aurantiochytrium limacinum. Lineage: Eukaryota; Bigyra; Thraustochytrida; Thraustochytriidae. The record is from RNAcentral.